CUAAGCACCCCGCGUACAUCAAGCCAAUCGUCAUCUACCACGUGAUCAUUACCCUUCUACCCCACCUCGUCCUCCACCCUUGAGCGAGCGGGUUUAGAAUAACCCGUAACUCCGUCGUUCUACUCACUCGUAUGUUCGAUUUCGACCGGUUCGUGUCAUCGUUCCCUUCUUUCAUACUAUUCUUCGAGCUCUCGAAAACGUAUCUACGAUCUACGAUCAUGGAGGUUGCCAAAGCAAACGAUACAGCGAGUAGCCUAGUCGAACAAUCGAACGUUGAAUCGGCAUUGAAGUCGGUGAAAACGUUGCAGAGUACGCAAAGCGUACAAACCAAAUCAGUGAUCGAGUCGUCGACUUCCAUUAAAUCGGUGACCACGUCGUCGAGCAGGUCGCAUCGAUCGAUGGAGUACGAGGAGUCGGUUGAAUACACCGAUGAAUAAACUCAUCGCGCGGCGAAAUCCCAGAGUUCCACAAAAAACCAAGUGGACACCGAAUGUGGUCGAGGCUAAGGUGUUAACGGCAUGCUAAAUUAUUUGAUCGACUACAACUUAGUCCGAUCUAUUGCAUAGAAAACGAAGAAAAAAAUGUCCUCCGUCAUCUAAUGUCAUAAAGGUACGACUUACGACAAUGUUUAAGUUCAUUAAAGAUCUAUCUUCUUUUUUUUUGUCGAACGAAGAAAAAAGUCUUCCUUCGAUUAUUUUUUCUUUUCUUCUCGAAAUAUUCGAUAAUAUAAAAUAAUUUCAUGAAUUAAGGAAUAUAUCUUAAUCGUAAAAAUCUUACCGCAAAUGAUACGAACGGGUCGACGACAAAGAGAGAGAGGGGAGAGGGGAGAGAGAGAGAACAUAAAGGAAGAAAAGUUAUAAAAAUAAAAAAUAAAAAGAAAAUGUCUAAGAACAUGAAAAUGAAUCAACGUGGAAUACUUCGAGAAAAAUUGACUCUCUUUAUCGUACGACGACGGGUCAAGGCAAGAGCCAGGAAUGCCAGUCGCGAUCGAAGAUGUCUACGUUAAAGAAAAAGACAAGAAGAAUAAGAAGAAUAAGAGGAAGAAGAAGAAAAAGAAAAAGAAAAAAACAAAUACGCGGAGGAACGUCUGGAAGUCUCGGCUACGAGUUUGGCUCCACUCCAAAUGCCGGGUUCGCCGCCAAAUAGCAAAGAGCCCCUUCUUUUUUCUUUUACGAAUUCCCGUUCGUCUUUCUCCCCACUAUUGGACGUUCACCUCCCCCUAUACUCUAGUCCAAACCCUUUUCGCUCGAAUGUUCCGUCAUUGUCACGUCUUAAAAACCAGAUUUUCAUCCCAACGAAUCGUUUAAUCUUUGUACAAUAAAAUUUCUAAGACCGACACUUUGUUAUUCCCUUCUAAAAUCGAUUUAUCAUCAAUAUAAUUUAUCAUCAAAAAUAUUUUCACGAUAAUAAUAAUUGCAACAACAAAAAGAAAAAAAGAAAAGGAAUUCUUUUGUCAGAUCAACAUCGUAUUACAGCGUUGUAUCGUCAUUUUGAUAAUAAAUAAUAAUAAGUAAUUUAAA
Long non-coding RNA from Vespa crabro (European hornet), 1520 nucleotides. RefSeq lists it as uncharacterized. NCBI's taxonomy places the organism in Eukaryota, Metazoa, Arthropoda, Insecta, Hymenoptera, Vespidae. The transcript has 2 exons. The record is from RefSeq and is a predicted model, not a curated record.